GCUCUAUUAACUCAGUCGGUAGAGUGAAGUACUUAUAAUGCUUUGGUCGCGAGUUCGAUCCUCGCAUGGAGCA
Non-coding RNA from Dictyostelium firmibasis, 73 nucleotides. The record is from the annotation of a GenBank genome assembly. Lineage: Eukaryota; Evosea; Eumycetozoa; Dictyosteliales; Dictyosteliaceae.